AUGAAAUAAAAGAGAGGAUGGAGGAGACAAUAUCCUGUUUUAUUUGCGAUAUUCUCUACUUAAGAUUAUGUAAUAUUUCAUGAUGCAAUGCAGCAGCAGGUGACAGCUCUGCCUUUUGGGGGGUGUCACCGUCCUUGCCUGGUCCUGACUGUGCCCUGCUUGCUGCGAGUCAACGCUGCGAUGUUCCGUGGGCUGCGAGCCUACCUUCCGCUCCCCGGGGCUCAGACGAAGCUCCCGACCGGGCUCUCCUCGCCUCGAGCCUCGCUUUCUGCUGCCUCUAGCCCUGCAAUCGCCUCUGCAGACUCGCCCGCUGGCCGCGCCUGCUGCCGCCUUCCAGCUCUUCCCUCUCGGGAUGGCUGAGGUCAAAGCUUGCUCUGCCCUCCACGUGCAAAAAUUAAAAACCGAGGCUAAAACAAGACAAAAUAAAACCUAGACAUAUUCUAGAGAAUGUUUUUAUUUGAUUGCUUCUUGAAAUUUCAUUUCCCUAAAAUGUGUUCUUACAAUAAUAUUUUGCUUAAAUAUUUGGGCCAAGGAAGACUUUUAAAAAUGAUCACCUUUGCAGCUUUCUCACUUGGAAGUUGGCUAGUACUCAACCCUCUGAUGAAUGGAAGAGUAACAACUUGCUUUUCUCUCUGCUGAGGAGUGGACCCAUGGAGACAGGCAGCUUCGAGGGAGUCUCUCUUUCUAAGGCUCAGGUAUGUGGUACGGGUUGAAAUUCUGCAAUGUGUGACUGAGCUCCCACCUACAGACUGGACAACGUUUUGUCCCUGCCCUAAUCUUGUCUUUGUGGAGGUGUUGGAGGGAAGAAGGGCCAGGGACAUUUCCAGCCCCGUGGCAAGUUCCUGUCUGCACAGUUUCGGCUGUUUAAUUUUCAGAUUAUUUAAUGACAGAUUAUUUUUAGGGUAAACAUAGGAGUAAGCCCUCUAUCUCUUAGUUUAAGGACUCUUCUCUCUCAGAGGGGUAGGCAGGUGCUUCUGGACCUCUGCAGGCAUGGAGUUGUUCGGGCAGGGCCUCCCGUAGCUGCCGACGAGAGGUCGGGAGAGGGCUCUGGCUGACAGAAGGUGGCCUGCGGGGCGCUAAUGCUGCGUG
Molecule: long non-coding RNA, 1089 nt
Filed under: Microcebus murinus (gray mouse lemur)
Lineage: Eukaryota; Metazoa; Chordata; Mammalia; Primates; Cheirogaleidae
Description: lncRNA (ENSMICG00000048449.1)
Source: RNAcentral